Molecule: ribosomal RNA, 502 nt
Filed under: uncultured bacterium
Lineage: Bacteria
Description: bacterial SSU rRNA
Rfam family: Bacterial small subunit ribosomal RNA
Source: RNAcentral
AUUGAACGCUGGCGGCGUGCCUAACACAUGCAAGUCGAGCGGUAACAGGUGUAGCAAUACAUGCUGACGAGCGGCGGACGGGUGAGUAACGCUUGGGAAUCUGCCUGUUAGUGGGGGACAACCCGGGGAAACUCGGGCUAAUACCGCAUACGCACUACGGUGGAAAGCCGGGGACCGCAAGGCCUGGCGCUAACAGAUGAGCCCAAGUCGGAUUAGCUAGUUGGUAGGGUAACGGCCUACCAAGGCGACGAUCCGUAACUGGUCUGAGAGGACGACCAGUCACACCGGAACUGAGACACGGUCCGGACUCCUACGGGAGGCAGCAGUGGGGAAUAUUGGACAAUGGGCGAAAGCCUGAUCCAGCGACGCCGCGUGGGUGAAGAAGGCCUGCGGGUUGUAAAGCCCUUUCGGUGGGGAAGAAAAGCCUCGAGUUAAUACCUCGGGUCUUGACGUAACCCAUAGAAGAAGCACCGGCUAACUCUGUGCCAGCCGCCGCAGUAAU